Paramuricea clavata is the source of this 1022-nucleotide non-coding RNA. The record is from the annotation of a GenBank genome assembly. Lineage: Eukaryota; Metazoa; Cnidaria; Anthozoa; Malacalcyonacea; Plexauridae.
GUCUGAUCAGUACGAAGAGAGGCAUAAAGGAACACACACUAUAGGCAAAGUUGGCAAACAUUAUGAAUGUGAUGUUUGUAAGAAGAGAUUUCGGCAAUCAGGUAAUUUAACUGUACAUAAAAGAACACACAGUGGAGACAAACCUUAUGAAUGUGAUGUUUGUAAGAAGAAAUUUAGGCAAUCUGUUAAUUUAGCUGUACAUAAAAGAACACACACUGGAGACAAACCUUAUGAAUGUGAUGUUUGCAAGAAGAGAUUUAGACAUUCAGGUAAUUUAACAUCACAUAAACGAACACACACUGGAGACAAACCUCAUGAAUGUGAUGUUUGUCAGACGAGAUUUAGCCAAUCAGGUAGUUCAACUACACAUAAACGAACACACACCGGAGACAAACCUUAUGAAUGUGAUGUUUGUAAGAAAACAUUUCAAAGGUCAGAUAAUUUGGCAUUACAUAAAAGGACACACACUGGAGACAAACCUUAUGAAUGUGAUGUUUGUGAGAAGAAAUUUACACAAUCAGGUCAUUUAACUAAACAUAAAAGAACACACACUCGGGACAAGCCUUAUGAAUGCGAUGUUUGUAAGAAACAAUUUUCCCAAUUGGGUAGUCUUAAUUACCACAAGAAGGGGCGUUUGUUUUGUCACUCUUGCAGCAGAGAGAUUAUUCAACCGCAAGAAAUACAAGAACAAUUUGUUGAGGAUAGAAACACUGGAAAGUAUGCUUGUAACAAAUGUAAUAAACAAUCGUCUGGUUUCAUGAUAUUGGUUCGACAUGUGGCAAGGCAACAUGGUAAUGAUGGAAACUAUCAAUGUGCUUUAUGUCAAGAACUGGAAUCGACAGAACCAACUGGUGUUGGAUAUGUUUGUUGUUUGUGCGAUGUGGUGUUUGAUGUUCCCAGAGACCUGGAAGAUCACAUGGUCACCCAUGACUGAUCAAUCUGAAUAUUGUUGCCGGCUUUGAGUAUAGAGUAAAUCUAUUUACCAAGUCAAAUCCGAGUCAAUUCAGAGCCCGAGUCAAACG